RNAcentral lists this small RNA (28 nucleotides) under Bombyx mori (domestic silkworm). Its description in RNAcentral is "ovarian small RNA-11293". The record is from RNAcentral. Lineage: Eukaryota; Metazoa; Arthropoda; Insecta; Lepidoptera; Bombycidae.
ACCGAAGCGAUUGCAUCAAGACGAUGCC